RNAcentral lists this ribosomal RNA (497 nucleotides) under uncultured bacterium. RNAcentral's name for it is "partial 16S ribosomal RNA". It matches the Rfam family "Bacterial small subunit ribosomal RNA", at positions 28 to 507 of the family's 1533-position model. The record is from RNAcentral.
GACGAACGCUGGCGGCGUGCCUAAUACAUGCAAGUUGAGCGCUGAAGGUUGGUACUUGUACCAACUGGAUGAGCAGCGAACGGGUGAGUAACGCGUGGGGAAUCUGCCUUUGAGCGGGGGACAACAUUUGGAAACGAAUGCUAAUACCGCAUAAAAACUUUAAACACAAGUUUUAAGUUUGAAAGAUGCAAUUGCAUCACUCAAAGAUGAUCCCGCGUUGUAUUAGCUAGUUGGUGAGGUAAAGGCUCACCAAGGCGAUGAUACAUAGCCGACCUGAGAGGGUGAUCGGCCACAUUGGGACUGAGACACGGCCCAAACUCCUACGGGAGGCAGCAGUAGGGAAUCUUCGGCAAUGGACGAAAGUCUGACCGAGCAACGCCGCGGGAGUGAAGAAGGUUUUCGGAUCGUAAAACUCUGUUGGUAGAGAAGAACGUUUGUGAGAGUGGAAAGCUCAUCAAGUGACGGUAACUACCCAGAAAGGGACGGCUAACUACGUG